RNAcentral lists this ribosomal RNA (374 nucleotides) under uncultured organism. RNAcentral's name for it is "partial 16S ribosomal RNA". It matches the Rfam family "Bacterial small subunit ribosomal RNA", at positions 527 to 896 of the family's 1533-position model. The record is from RNAcentral.
GUAGGUGGCAAGCGUUGUCCGGAAUUAUUGGGCGUAAAGCGCGCGCAGGCGGUUCUUUAAGUCUGAUGUGAAAGCCCACGGCUCAACCGUGGAGGGUCAUUGGAAACUGGAGAACUUGAGUACAGAAGAGGAAAGCGGAAUUCCACGUGUAGCGGUGAAAUGCGUAGAGAUGUGGAGGAACACCAGUGGCGAAGGCGGCUUUCUGGUCUGUAACUGACGCUGAGGCGCGAAAGCGUGGGGAGCAAACAGGAUUAGAUACCCUGGUAGUCCACGCCGUAAACGAUGAGUGCUAAGUGUUAGGGGGGUUUUCCGCCCCCCUUAGUGCUGCAGCUAACGCAUUAGGCACUCCGCCUGGGAGUACGGCCGCAAGGCUG